Molecule: long non-coding RNA, 884 nt
Filed under: Capra hircus (goat)
Lineage: Eukaryota; Metazoa; Chordata; Mammalia; Artiodactyla; Bovidae
Description: lncRNA (ENSCHIG00000005512.1)
Source: RNAcentral
GGGCAGGAUGAGAAAAAUUGCCCAAGACCUCUGGGGGCCCUGGAUGGUGACAUUUCUGCUUCCGGUUCUUUCCAAAUGUGUUUGCAGAACACAUCUCCAUCCAACUCUCCUGGGAGACGGAAAGUCAAGGGAGCCAGUCACAAGGUGUCCUCAGCAGAACAAAGGCCUCCAGAGAUGUUCACACGCUGAUCUCAGGAGCUUAUCUGAGAAGAGUGUCCAUGAGGGAAAGGAUGGGCAGCUACAGAAGCUUGUUGGUAAUGGUCCAGCUGAAUGUUCUAAGGCAACGGGCAGUUUGCAGGGGAUGGACACAAGGAGAACUUGACCCUGUUUGCAAGUUUCCGGGGAAGGAGCUACGAGGACUCUGAGCCCUAAAGCUUCAGGUCAAGGGAACCAGCUGGCUACUCUGUGGACGGAUUAGCAGAGCCUUGGCGCUCGCCUGCUCCCCUUAGAAUCCCCAUCUCUAUCUUCCCUGUCAGGGCUAUCACAGAUGAAGCUGCCCUGACUGUUUCUGUAGGAGUCUUUGAAUACAUACGUUUUCUCUUCUCUUGAAUAAAUACGUUUUCAUUUCAUUUGGGAGUGGAGUGAUGGGUCAUCUGGCAGAAGGAUGUUUAACUUCUUAGGAAACGAACCAGCUGUUUUCUGAAGAGGCUGUGCCAUUUUUUCAUUCCCACCAGCAACAUCUGAGCUUUCCAGUCCCUUAAUAUCCACUCCAAUAGUCAUCUUGAGAGGUGCGUGGGGUUACCUCGGGAUGGUUUUAAUUUACACACAUUUCCCUGCUGGCUAAUGAUGGUGAACAUCUCUUCAUGAGCUGCUUGCUAGCUGUACAUCUUCUUCUGUGACAUGUGUGUCUUCAAAUCUAUUGUCCAUUAAAAGAAAUGUAUCAU